AUUGAACGCUGGCGGCAUGCCUUACACAUGCAAGUCGAACGGCAGCGCGGGAGCAAUCCUGGCGGCGAGUGGCGAACGGGUGAGUAAUAUAUCGGAACGUGCCCAGUAGUGGGGGAUAGCCCGGCGAAAGCCGGAUUAAUACCGCAUACGACCUACGGGUGAAAGGGGGGGAUCGCAAGACCUCUCGCUAUUGGAGCGGCCGAUAUCAGAUUAGGUAGUUGGUGGGGUAAAGGCCCACCAAGCCUGCGAUCUGUAGUUGGUCUGAGAGGACGACCAGCCACACUGGGACUGAGACACGGUCCAGACUCCUACGGGAGGCAGCAGUGGGGAAUUUUGGACAAUGGGCGAAAGCCUGAUCCAGCAAUGCCGCGUGCAGGAUGAAGGCCUUCGGGUUGUAAACUGCUUUUGUACGGAACGAAACGGUGAGCUCUAAUACAGUUUGCUAAUGACGGUACCGUAAGAACAAGCACCGGCUAACUACGUGCCAGCCGCCGCAGUAA
Molecule: ribosomal RNA, 500 nt
Filed under: uncultured bacterium
Lineage: Bacteria
Description: partial 16S ribosomal RNA
Rfam family: Bacterial small subunit ribosomal RNA
Source: RNAcentral